GUUUUUUUUUUUUUUUUUUUUUUUUUUUUUUUGCAUCGAGCCCAGUCUUCUCCUCGCGCUGCCUCAAUUGUUUCCUAGUGGCUCAACCCGCCCUCAUUAGACAACAGGGAAGAUAUCAAAUGGCGGGAGAAAUAACAAGAGGAUGUUGUUUCUAGGGGGUUUCGUCAAAGUAAAAUAAUCUUGGGAUUUUAGAGGAAUUUGAAAACGCCCAAAUUCCUUGUAGUAAAUUUGUCGUAAAAUGGGCUUUAUCACACAAUACUUGUGGUGGUUCUUCUAAAUAUGUUUUUUGACUAGAUUCAUU
This 301-nucleotide non-coding RNA is filed under the name Heterosigma akashiwo. The record is from RNAcentral. Lineage: Eukaryota; Raphidophyceae; Chattonellales; Chattonellaceae.